RNAcentral lists this long non-coding RNA (525 nucleotides) under Rattus norvegicus (Norway rat). RNAcentral's name for it is "long non-coding RNA NONRATT003998". Lineage: Eukaryota; Metazoa; Chordata; Mammalia; Rodentia; Muridae. The record is from RNAcentral.
CGCCACUCACUGUAGAACCCCAGCAGCGUCACCGAAAAGCCGCUCUGGGCCAAUGACAGCGCGUGGUACUGCAUGCGGGGGCUGCGGCCCACGUCGCCCAGCACCACAACGACCACAUGUCGUGCCCUGCCGGCCUGCCGCCCACGCUUCCACAGACCCACCAGCAGCACGGACAGCAACAGCAGCAAAGCCAGCAGCGCCACGCAGGACGCUGCCAUCUUGGCCGGCCGGCAGCGAGCACGUGACCGGACCAGGAAGCCACGCUGUGCGCAGGCGCACACCCAGACCCUGCAGUGGGUGGGGGGGUGAUGAAACCACCUCUGUAAAGUAGGAGGAGGCGGGUCCUUGGAUAAGGCGGGGUCUGGAAGAACAAGACCUGGACGAUGGGGGCUGGCUCUGAACGGAGGGGCGGGCCCUGGAAAGGAUAGGAGGCCUUUGAUGAAAACUUAAUGAAUUAGUAAGCUGUAACCAUGUCAAGUUCCCUGAACCGUGUUUUUCCCCUGUGAAAGUAAAGCUGUACCUUUA